RNAcentral lists this ribosomal RNA (440 nucleotides) under uncultured bacterium. RNAcentral describes it as "partial 16S ribosomal RNA". It matches the Rfam family "Bacterial small subunit ribosomal RNA", at positions 338 to 795 of the family's 1533-position model. The record is from RNAcentral.
CCUACGGGAGGCAGCAGUGGGGAAUAUUGCACAAUGGGGGAAACCCUGAUGCAGCAACGCCGCGUGAGUGAAGAAGUAUUUCGGUAUGUAAAGCUCUAUCAGCAGGGAAGAGCAUGACGGUACCUGACUAAGAAGCCCCGGCUAACUACGUGCCAGCAGCCGCGGUACUACGUCGGGGGCAAGCGUUAUCCGGAUUUACUGGGUGUAAAGGGAGCGUAGACGGCUGUAAAAGUCUGAAGUGAAAGCCCGGGGCUCAACCGCGGAACUGCUGUGGAAACUGUAAAGCUUGAGUACUGGAGAGGCAGGCGGAAUUCCUAGUGUAGCGGUGAAAUGCGUAGAUAUUAGGAGGAACACCAGUGGCGAAGGCGGCCUGCUGGACAGAAACUGACGUUGAGGCUCGAAAGCGUGGGGAGCAAACAGGAUUAGAUACCCCUGUAGUC